UAUCUCUGUAGAGUCUGCAUAUCAAUAAGCGGAGGAAAAGAAACUAACUAGGAUUCCCUUAAGUAACGGCGAGUGAAGCGGGAAGAGCUCAAAUUUGAAAUCUUAAAGGGUUCUACCUUGACGAAUUGUAGUUUAAAGAAGUGUUUUCUGUUGGAGUUUUGGUAAAAGUUCUUUGGAAUAGGACAUCAUAGAGGGUGAGAAUCCCGUAUUUGACCAUUAUCUUCCAACUGUGUGAUACACUUUCAAAGAGUCGGAUUGUUUGGGAAUGCAGUCCAAAAUGGGUGGUAAAUUUCAUCUAAAGCUAAAUAUUGGCGAGAGACCGAUAGCGAACAAGUACCGUGAGGGAAAGAUGAAAAGAACUUUGAAAAGAGAGUUAAACAGUACGUGAAAUUGUCAAAAGGGAAGCGUUUGACACCAGUGUUGUUUUCUCGAAAAUCAAUUAAAAAUGACCGGAUUUUGUGUUGUAUUGACUUUAUCAGCUUUCUGCACUUUUUUCUUGUCUUUUUUAAUGCACUUUUCGUUUAACAAGUCAACAUCAAUUUCUUUUGUUGUAAAAGAGUCAUUGGAAGGUGGCUUUCACUUCGGUGAAAGUGUUUAUAGCCUUUGACUUCUGCAAUCGGAGAGAUUGAGGUCUGCAGCGUAGAUCCUUCGGGGUUAGAUACAUUUGUGCUAAGUUAUAGUUUUUCAUAGACAACAUGUUGACUAUGAUUAAUCAUGUAGCUUACUCGCUUAUGCUAUUUUACCUACGCUUAGGAUGUUGAACGCGCACAGAGUCUC
Molecule: ribosomal RNA, 777 nt
Filed under: uncultured Neocallimastigales
Lineage: Eukaryota; Fungi; Neocallimastigomycota; Neocallimastigomycetes; Neocallimastigales
Description: partial large subunit ribosomal RNA
Rfam family: Eukaryotic large subunit ribosomal RNA
Source: RNAcentral